Molecule: long non-coding RNA, 677 nt
Organism: Cercocebus atys (sooty mangabey)
Lineage: Eukaryota; Metazoa; Chordata; Mammalia; Primates; Cercopithecidae
Exons: 2
Source: RefSeq, a predicted model, not a curated record
CGGGAGGCCGGGACCGGCGGAAGGGGCGUGGCCUUUGGAAGGGGUAGGCCGGCGGGAAUCCAGAGGCGUGGGUCUCCCUGAAGAACUCCCAGACCUUUCACUCCUGGCCCGGCCGGCGCAUACAAGCAGCACAAUGAGUAGUUCUUGACCCGAGGUCGCCCUGACGGUGUCGCAUGAAGAGCUUGCUUCACACACAACAAGAUUCGAUACUUUGCCAAUUCGAGACCCGGGUGGCUGGCAGGGAAGGCGGAUUCGCCUUGGCUAGGUGCCAGGCAGGUCCCCCUCUGCGGGUGCCCCUGACUUCGACCCCUAGCUUAUGUCACAGCCCGAACCAGAUCGACUGGUCUGGUAGGAUGUCACUCCAGACUGUCCUCCACCCCAGACUUCCUCAAACUGAUGGGCUCUUUGUGCCGUGCAGGGUGGGAGGAGAAGACCAAACUAAGUAACGUCUGUAAAACCCCUUCCUGGACAGCAUAAGGCCUCCACAUCUAAGUUUCUGCCAUUAAAAUGGAGACAGCAAAGCCAACCCUAUCCAGUCCUUGGGACUGUUAUGAACAGAAAAUGAUGCAAUGUAUGAAAAACUGCUUUAACGAGGAAAACAAUACAGUGUGUUUUUGGAAGAUGUUAUUGACUUGUGAACCGCAUUAAAUGCUCUGAAAUAAAAUGAAAGUAAAAAU